UUCAGGUUGACUCAGUUUUUAUCUGCAGUAAAAGAUAUCAAACAGUGAUGACAGGCAUUGACAGGACAGUCACAUGUUCACUGCUCUCAGACUGAAUCGACAAAGUGAUUGUAUAAUAUACAUGCGUUGUGUUUAGAAAAUAACAAAAAAAUACAGAAAAGCAGUAAAAUAAAACAGUUAUGACAGGCACUGACAGGACGGUCACAGCCACACGUUCACUGGUUAGGUAGGACACAAGAUAUCAUUUAGAUAGGAGCAACAGUAGUGAUACAUGGUUAGGUAGGACACAAGAUAUCAUUUAGAUAGGAGCAACAGUAGUGAUACAUGGUUAGGUAGGACACAAGAUAUCAUUUAGAUAGGAGCAACAGUAGUGAUACAUGCCCUCAAUGUGAAGUGAUAUUAAUCCAUAAAUACAGAGCACAAGUACAACCCUUUUUAUAUAAACAUUUGAAGGUUGUAAGAAAAUAAACAUGAAGUUAAUAUUUCAAUAAGUCACCUGCUAGUAAAUCACCUGCUGGUAAUAGCUGCGUGACACAUUGUAGUGCAGUGACCAACGGUGCUAGUUAGCUCGUCAUUAACACGGCUAGCUAAACAAGCAGAAACCUGGUUAACUUGCUGAAAUAGGUCUUCAAUUUAUGAACGGCAAAAUAAAUAUAUACAUAGCCACAUUCGCCAUUGACUUUAGGAUAUAUGAACCAGUUUUCCAAAACCACUAUUGUGUUAUAGAGUUUUAAACAGUUUUUAUAUAAAGAGGAAGAGGACUGGAACCUGCUGUCAGAAUAUCUCUCUCAGCCUGAGGAGCAGGCAGACCAACUUCCCAAAUAGGGUAGAACCAGUGCUGUCACAAUGUUGCACAUAUGUAAAUAUGUUGUUUACUGAUCUCCUCUCCAUUCUAGCACCAUACGUUCUGUUGUUUACUGAUCUCCUCUCCAUUCUAGCACCAUACGUUCUGUUGUUUACUGAUCUCCUCUCCAUUCUAGCACCAUAUGUUCUUCAGAAGCUGGUCAGCAUAUGAAUAGAAUCCAUCUUCUCUCACCGUCUCCCCACAAGACCUACAUCACACAAGAUGCUUCAGAAUAACAACAACAAGCUGGUGAAGUUACUACCCAACAGGAACAGCCAUGACAACAACAACAAGCUGGUGAAGUUGCUACCCAACAGGAACAGCCAUGACAACAACAACAAGCUGGUGAAGUUGCUACCCAACAGGAACAGCCAUGACAACAACAACAAGCUGGUGAAGUUGCUACCCAACAGGAACAGCCAUGACAACAACAACAAGCUGGUGAAGUUGCUACCCAACAGGAACAACCAUGACAACAACAACAAGCUGGUGAAGUUACUACCCAACAGGAACAACCAUGACAACAACAACAAGGUGGUGAAGUUACUACCCAACAGGAACAGCCAUGACAACAACAACAAGCUGGUGAAGUUACUACCCAACAGGAACAACCAUGACAACAACAACAAGCUGGUGAAGUUACUACCCAACAGGAACAACCAUGACAACAACAACAAGCUGGUGAAGUUACUACCCAACAGGAACAACCAUGACAACAACAACAAGCUGGUGAAGUUACUACCCAACAGGAACAACCAUGACAACAACAACAACAACAAGCUGGUGAAGUUGCUACCCAACAGGAACAACCAUGACAACAACAACAAGCUGGUGAAGUUGCUACCCAACAGGAACAACCAUGACAACAACAACAAGCUGGUGAAGUUGCUACCCAACAGGAACAACCAUGACAACAACAACAAGCUGGUGAAGUUACUACCCAACAGGAACAACCAUGACAACAACAACAAGCUGGUGAAGUUACUACCCAACAGGAACAACCAUGACAACAACAACAAGCUGGUGAAGUUACUACCCAACAGGAACAACCAUGACAACAACAACAAGCUGGUGAAGUUACUACCCAACAGGAACAACCAUGACAACAACAACAACAACAAGCUGGUGAAGUUACUACCCAACAGGAACAACCAUGACAACAACAACAAGCUGGUGAAGUUGCUACCCAACAGGAACAACCAUGACAACAACAACAACAAGCUGGUGAAGUUGCUACCCAACAGGAACAACCAUGACAACAACAACAAGCUGGUGAAGUUGCUACCCAACAGGAACAACC
RNAcentral lists this long non-coding RNA (2144 nucleotides) under Salmo salar (Atlantic salmon). RNAcentral describes it as "lncRNA (ENSSSAG00000107283.1)". Lineage: Eukaryota; Metazoa; Chordata; Actinopteri; Salmoniformes; Salmonidae. The record is from RNAcentral.